This 429-nucleotide ribosomal RNA is filed under the name Chloroflexota bacterium. RNAcentral's name for it is "Chloroflexi bacterium partial 16S ribosomal RNA". It matches the Rfam family "Bacterial small subunit ribosomal RNA", at positions 355 to 776 of the family's 1533-position model. Lineage: Bacteria; Bacillati; Chloroflexota. The record is from RNAcentral.
UGGGGAAUAUUGCACAAUGGGCGCAAGCCUGAUGCAGCCAUGCCGCGUGUGUGAAGAAGGCCUUCGGGUUGUAAAGCACUUUCAGCGGGGAGGAAGGCGGUGAGGUUAAUAACCUCAUCGAUUGACGUUACCCGCAGAAGAAGCACCUGCUAACUCCGUGCCAGCAGCCGCGGUAAUACGGAGGGUGCAAGCGUUAAUCGGAAUUACUGGGCGUAAAGCGCACGCAGGCGGUCUGUCAAGUCGGAUGUGAAAUCCCCGGGCUCAACCUGGGAACUGCAUUCGAAAAUGGCAGGCUAGAGUCUUGUAGAGGGGGGUAGAAUUCCAGGUGUAGCGGUGAAAUGCGUAGAGAUCUGGAGGAAUACCGGUGGCGAAGGCGGCCCCCUGGACAAAGACUGACGCACAGGUGCGAAAGCGUGGGGAGCAAACAGG